GAUGAACGCUGGCGGCGUGCCUAAUACAUGCAAGUCGAGCGAACAGAUGAGGAGCUUGCUCCUCUGACGUUAGCGGCGGACGGGUGAGUAACACGUGGAUAACCUACCUAUAAGACUGGGAUAACUUCGGGAAACCGGAGCUAAUACCGGAUAAUAUAUUGAACCGCAUGGUUCAAUAGUGAAAGACGGUUUUGCUGUCACUUAUAGAUGGAUCCGCGCCGCAUUAGCUAGUUGGUAAGGUAACGGCUUACCAAGGCAACGAUGCGUAGCCGACCUGAGAGCGUGAUCGGCCAGACUGGAACUGAGACACGGUCCAGACUCCUACGGGAGGCAGCAGUAGGGAAUCUUCCGCAAUGGGGGAAAGCCUGACGGAGCAACGCCGCGUGAGUGAUGAAGGUCUUCGGAUCGUAAAACUCUGUUAUUAGGGAAGAACAAAUGUGUAAGUAACUAUGCACGUCUUGACGGUACCUAAUCAGAAAGCCACGGCUAACUACGUG
This 497-nucleotide ribosomal RNA is filed under the name uncultured bacterium. RNAcentral describes it as "partial 16S ribosomal RNA". It matches the Rfam family "Bacterial small subunit ribosomal RNA", at positions 28 to 507 of the family's 1533-position model. The record is from RNAcentral.